This 322-nucleotide ribosomal RNA is filed under the name uncultured eukaryote. Its description in RNAcentral is "partial 18S ribosomal RNA". It matches the Rfam family "Eukaryotic small subunit ribosomal RNA", at positions 1470 to 1796 of the family's 1831-position model. The record is from RNAcentral.
CCCUUAGAUGUCCUGGGCCGCACGCGCGUUACACUGAUGCACUCAACGAGCAUAUAACCUUGGCCGAGAGGCCUGGGUAAUCUUGUUAACAUGCAUCGUGAUAGGGAUAGAUUAUUGCAAUUAUUAAUCUUGAACGAGGAAUUCCUAGUAAUCGCGGAUCAUCAAUCCGCAAUGAUUACGUCCCUGCCCUUUGUACACACCGCCCGUCGCACCUACCGAUUGAAUGGUCCGGUGAAAUCUCGGGACGGCGGCUUGGUCGCUUGCGUCCGACUGCUGAAACUUGAUUAAACCAUAUCAUUUAGAGGAAGGUGAAGUCGUAACA